CCGGUAAUAGUCUGAGACACACAGACACACACACACACACGCACACGCACACAAGAAAUCAUUGUUUUGUUUUGUUUGUUUUUGUUUGUAGGGAGGGAGAGAGAAGCAGUAGAUGAGAGAAAAGGAACUAUAACCAACCAAAAACUGUAUAUGUGUAUUUUAAAACCCCACUGAACGUCUUUCUUCCUGGACAGCCUGAAACUAACUAUAUAGACCAGGCUGGACUCAAACUCCACAAAAAUCGACUUGCCUCUCUGUUAAUGGCUUUCUCCACCUGACUGUCCCAGUGUUAUACUGAAUUUUAGUGUGAGGCAUAAGGAGAGAGUCACAUUGCAGAUGAAAUCACAUAACAAUACGGUUUCGUUUUGUCCUGUUUUUAGAACAUUUUGAGACAGGGUCUGUCACUUUGCAGGCCUGGCCAUCCUGGAACUCACUGUGUAGACCAGGCUGGCCUCAAACUCCCAGAAAUCCACUUGUGUCUGCUUCCCAAGUGCUGGGCUUAAAGCUGUGCCCCGCCAUGCUGGCCACUGAGAAGAUGUAUGUGCGCCACAUACAUGCAGCAGCCUGAGGCGCUCCGGAGAGGGCUUAUUGGGUGCCCAGGACCGGGAACCCAGACUUGGGUGACCCCACAUACCAAUGUCCCAACUCAGUGUCGGUUUCGUGAUGUUUCUGUAGAAGAGAACGCAGAAAACGACAGGUAAAUACAUCAAGAGCCUUUGAAAGUACAGCGGCGGAGACCCGCGGCAGGGGCAGGCAGGCAGGUUGGAGCGUCGCAGGGAGACCCCUGCGGUGGGGCUGGCUCCUGUGCUGCCCGACUCCUGUGCUCCGACUUGGAGAAGACGGGCGUCCGUUCGUCCAUACCCAAAAGAGUCGGCCACAAGGAUGUUGGCACCUGGGGGUGGGCCACGAGCGGCCAGUUAGGGGUAAGAGACGGUGCAAGGUGACUUGUCCCUGGUCCUUCACCGCUCCAGCACUGCGCCAGUGAGAAAGUCCAACAGGCCCCGGGAUCGGGCGGCGAAAGGAAGGGGCGUGAUGUCACUCCUGGGUGGCUGACGGGGCGGGGUGUAUGCAGAUGAGGGUCGCGCAGGGGCUGCGGCGUCCGCAGCGGCCGGGGAAACGCGAGAGAUUUCUCGCGCGGCGUGGGAGAGAACGCGGGUCGCCAGAUGUCAGCGGAGCGCCGAGACGGCGUGUGCGACGAGGGAGACCCGAGAUCGGGCGGGGCUAAGUGACCGCUCUAGCGCACGCCCCGGGUGACCAGCCCCUCGCGCGACCGUGCCCCGGAUCUACGCGGAGCCCUGCUGGGCGCUCGGGCCGCGACCCCGCCAGCGUGGGCCUCCCAUGGGCCCCCGAUCACCCGGUGGCGGCGGGACCCCAGCGUCUGGGAGACGCCGGCUACACCUUGCCACGAAUCCCGCGGUCCUCGCAGGUGUGGCCGCCGCGGUGACGCCUGCCUGAACAAGGAACCGGCGUGGCAGGCUCACCACCGUCUCUGUGGCGCAAUCGGUUAGCGCGUUCGGCUGUUAACCGAAAGGUUGGUGGUUCGAGCCCACCCAGGGACGACAGACAGUUAGGCCUCACCUAGGCUUUUAACAGCCUGCUUUGCUUAUUAAGCCGUUAAUCCUUUCAUCACUCCCGUAAACCCAGCAAGUUCACACGCCCAACACAGCCGUCAAAACCCCCAAAACACGCGGCAAACUCAAAA
This is a long non-coding RNA of Mus musculus (house mouse), 1702 nucleotides long. RefSeq annotates it as predicted gene, 26232. The transcript is spliced from 2 exons. Lineage: Eukaryota; Metazoa; Chordata; Mammalia; Rodentia; Muridae. The record is from RefSeq and is a predicted model, not a curated record.